RNAcentral lists this ribosomal RNA (409 nucleotides) under uncultured Methanosaeta sp. Its description in RNAcentral is "bacterial SSU rRNA". It matches the Rfam family "Archaeal small subunit ribosomal RNA", at positions 929 to 1338 of the family's 1478-position model. Lineage: Archaea; Methanobacteriati; Methanobacteriota; Methanomicrobia; Methanotrichales; Methanotrichaceae. The record is from RNAcentral.
ACCGGGGCGACAGCAAUAUGAAGGUCAGGCUGAAGACCUUACCCGAUUAGCUGAGAGGUGGUGCAUGGCCGUCGUCAGUUCGUACUGUGAAGCAUCCUGUUAAGUCAGGCAACGAGCGAGACCCACGUCCACAGUUGCCAGCAUACCCUCCGGGGUGAUGGGUACACUGUGGAGACCGCCGCUGCUAAAGCGGAGGAAGGAGUGGGCAACGGUAGGUCAGUAUGCCCCGAAUCUCCCGGGCUACACGCGGGCUACAAUGGUUGGUACAAUGGGCAUCUACCCCGAAAGGGGAAGGAAAUCUCCUAAACCCAUCCUUAGUUCGGAUUGUGGGCUGCAACUCGCCCACAUGAAGCUGGAAUCUGUAGUAAUCGUGUCUCAAAAUGGCACGGUGAAUACGUCCCUGCUCCUU